Molecule: transfer RNA, 102 nt
Filed under: Sporisorium scitamineum
Lineage: Eukaryota; Fungi; Basidiomycota; Ustilaginomycetes; Ustilaginales; Ustilaginaceae
Description: transfer RNA-Val(AAC)
Rfam family: tRNA
About the family: Transfer RNA (tRNA) molecules are approximately 80 nucleotides in length. Their secondary structure includes four short double-helical elements and three loops (D, anti-codon, and T loops).
Source: RNAcentral
GGUUUCUUGGCGCAGCUGGUUAGCGCGUCUCCUUAACAACUCCGAUCUUCUGAUCGUUAGGGCUUACGGAGGAGGUCGCCGGUUCGAACCCGGCAGAAAUCA